CAAACACAGACUUGGGAAGAGCUACACAGCACUAGACUGGAAUUUCUCCUCACAAGUCCGACAGCCACAAAUAAUCUCAGGAGCACGGAUAGCCAGAAAUGGAGCCAAUUACAGCAAGUGAGGCAGGGUCUCUCACUGAGCCUGGAGCUUGCUGAUUCAGUUAGACAGGCUGGAGAGAAAACCCCAGGUUUCUUCUCUGUCUCCCCAGUGCUGGGAUUAUAGGACAGGUAGAGCGGUUCUUGGCCAACCCUGAGGUGGUGGGGGCCAGCUCUCACACGGAGAAAAGUUCUGAUCAGCUGUGACCACAGCAACAACAAUGUCCAACACCUCCCCCCGGAAGCUCCUCUGAGCUCUGCA
Peromyscus maniculatus bairdii (prairie deer mouse) is the source of this 357-nucleotide non-coding RNA. The record is from RefSeq and is a predicted model, not a curated record. NCBI's taxonomy places the organism in Eukaryota, Metazoa, Chordata, Mammalia, Rodentia, Cricetidae.